GACGAACGCUGGCGGCGUGCUUAACACAUGCAAGUCGAACGGAAAGGCCCUGCUUUUGUGGGGUGCUCGAGUGGCGAACGGGUGAGUAACACGUGAGUAACCUGCCCUUGACUUUGGGAUAACUUCAGGAAACUGGGGCUAAUACCGGAUAGGAGCUCCUGCUGCAUGGUGGGGGUUGGAAAGUUUCGGCGGUUGGGGAUGGACUCGCGGCUUAUCAGCUUGUUGGUGGGGUAGUGGCUUACCAAGGCUUUGACGGGUAGCCGGCCUGAGAGGGUGACCGGCCACAUUGGGACUGAGAUACGGCGCAGACUGCUACGGGGGGCAGCAGUGGGGAAUAUUGCACAAUGGGCGGAAGCCUGAUGCAGCAACGCCGCGUGCGGGAUGACGGCCUUCGGGUUGUAAACCGCUUUCGCCUGUGACGAAGCGUGAGUGACGGUAAUGGGUAAAGAAGCACCGGCUAACUACGUG
This 468-nucleotide ribosomal RNA is filed under the name uncultured bacterium. RNAcentral describes it as "partial 16S ribosomal RNA". It matches the Rfam family "Bacterial small subunit ribosomal RNA", at positions 28 to 507 of the family's 1533-position model. The record is from RNAcentral.